Molecule: ribosomal RNA, 448 nt
Filed under: uncultured bacterium
Lineage: Bacteria
Description: bacterial SSU rRNA
Rfam family: Bacterial small subunit ribosomal RNA
Source: RNAcentral
GAACGGCAGCACGGGAGCAAUCCUGGUGGCGAGUGGCGAACGGGUGAGUAAUACAUCGGAACGUGCCCAAUCGUGGGGGAUAACGCAGCGAAAGCUGUGCUAAUACCGCAUACGAUCUACGGAUGAAAGCAGGGGACCGCAAGGCCUUGCGCGAAUGGAGCGGCCGAUGGCAGAUUAGGUAGUUGGUGAGGUAAAGGCUCACCAAGCCUUCGAUCUGUAGCUGGUCUGAGAGGACGACCAGCCACACUGGGACUGAGACACGGCCCAGACUCCUACGGGAGGCAGCGGUGGGGAAUUUUGGACAAUGGGCGCAAGCCUGAUCCAGCCAUGCCGCGUGCAGGAUGAAGGCCUUCGGGUUGUAAACUGCUUUUGUACGGAACGAAACGGCUCUUUCUAAUAAAGAGGGCUAAUGACGGUACCGUAAGAAUAAGCACCGGCUAACUACGUG